GUGGUGUGAGAGGAGCAGAUGGUGUUGCUGUAACUGAGGAGGGAUUCCUUGUGGAAGUACAAGUGCUGGAAGUUUUACAUCAUCGGGAAGCUUUUUUGUUCUUGACAAUUGUUAUUUUUGCUUUACUGAAAUGGACCUGUCUGUCCAUAAGCAGGCACCUUGCCACUGCAACAGAUGGGCAGGAACAUAAGUAGCCAGGAGAAUAGAUCUGUAUAUCUCUCAAAUGUGUAAUGGUCUGACUCUCAGAAAGCUGUCACUGUAGUUCUUCAUAAGGAACUUCCUUGGCAUAUGGUGAGAUAGUACGUUAUUACUCCAUUACUUAAAAACCCCCAGACAAUCAAAAGUAAUGUGCUGUGUUUCUAAUGAAAAGGGAGCAGAAUGUCUGGAGAUAAUAAAAGAUCUUCAGGUUUCACUGUUCAUGUGAAGAAGAGACUCUAAGGACAACAAGGCUUGAAACCUCUAUCUAUGUGUGCUAAUAUGUGGCAAACACUGAUUGGUAAUCCUGUAUUCCAUGAAGUGUUUACAACCCAGAAGCAGAAAAUAGGUAACUGGUGCUUGAGCUAUCAAGCAGCUGGAACACAGGUGUGUAUGUACUAACACAGAGAAUGGAUAUUACACUGUCUAUAGAAGUAUGUUUUCUUCAUUUGGGUUAGUAUUACAGAUUUUACACUUAAAACAGGUUUUUUUUAGAAACUUUCCUCCUAUAGAUCUAAUGAAAACUACAGACUUUUUAUAAGCAAAAGCUGUCACUGAAAGAAAUAACACAGACAACUCAGGUGUUCUUGUGUUUGGCAGCACAUUAACCAGCUGGCAGCUGGAUGUUAACAGCUGCAUGUUCUAUUUUUUGCCUUUGUGAGGAUGUUGUCUGAAGGUUGAGAACAAAGGACACAACCCUAAGAAGCCUGCUUCUUCGUUCUGCUACCAAUGGAACACUUUGUAAUACUUACAUUUUCAGAAAUUACCAUUGGUACAACUGUGUAUGUGAUGGAAGAACAACUGACCUGAAGGCUAGCCUUUCAAAUCCUAGAACUGGCUAUUCAAGACUCAGCUGUGCUCUGUGUUUUCUUCAUACUGUUUUCUUUUGCUGACAUCUGUCAACACAGUUCUGAAUUGGGAUUUCAUCUCACUCUUGUGACUUUGACUCAUCUGCCCUGUUAAUUCUAUGGAAGUUUUCAAAUUGAUGAACCAGAGAAUGGAGCUUGUGUAAGAAGAAUUUAUCCUGAAAAAGAAAUCCAGCUCAUUUAUUUAUGUGAGUUCCAGGUGGACCAGCACCUUUGGCAGAUGCAUUAACACUAACCCAUGAGGAAAGAGUAAUUUUUGGGCAGCUCUCACACUAUUCAGAUCAGAGCUUAUGCUGUUAAAUGUCACCGAGAAACCAACAGGCAACUUAUUAAGGUCAAACAGUGUCAGUAACCACACACUCUCAGGAAGAGGACCAUGAUCAGAAUUAAACGGGAAGGAGCUGCCUUGACUAUUGGAGCAAUAUGAUGAUCUUAACCAGCUGGAAACUAGAUAAGGUAUUUAUGACAAGACAGAGAAGCAUAAACAUGCGAGAAAGCAUUACUGCUAAAUGGGAGUGGAAUUCAACUUAAUAGCUUUCCCCUCCUGGAGAUUGUCAACUUUAUGGAAAAUGUCUGGUUGAUGACCAGUGAAGCCACUUCAGCCACUGCUGUUUCCAGCCCAUCACAGCAGCAAUAUAAACUUCGGUCCACGUUCAACUCCUGUUCCAGUUUGAGUUGCAAUAAUUACCCAUUGAAGCAGCUGUACUUGGUCUUAAAAUCCCUACCCACACCAGAUGGAGGAUGGCUGAGCAGAUAGAGGAGGAUGAAGCAGGGUUGCAAUGGAAUAACAGCUUGCAACAAUGCCGAGUUUAGCUGUCAGAAAGUCAUACAAAUACUAUCAAAUAUCUGGAAAGAUGAAAUGGAAGCCUGCCAAGACAUAACCUGUCUAGAACCUGGAGAAUUCAAAUUAUUUGUUUUUACAAACCUGCACAGGCACUACACAGGUUUUUGUGAAUUUCACUAAAACUGGAAAUAAAUUAUUUUUUCAUUACCCUCACCCAUGUGGAAGCCUUCUAUAUCAUGGGAAAUGUUCUUUGAGAAUGCAGCAUUAGUGGAGCCUGUAUUAAAAAUGUGCUUUAAAUCAAAUGGAAGAGAGAGCAAAAUAGAAUGAAAUACAGAUUGUAAAGAAAGCAGGUGUAAUUUGCUGUGAUGUAGUUCAAACUUGAAGUUGCUUCACCCCUGUACAAAGUUUUAGCAGAGGCCUUCAGGAUUAAUACAAACUGAAAUGCUGAUAUAUUUUUAUUGUCUUAAUAAUCUUCUUUCUGCAUGAUGGUUAAGACCCUCAGACUACAGAGACCAAAAUAUUUGUACUGUGUUCAUGCCUGCUGUAUAGCUAUCUAAUUACUAAUUUUACACUGCUUUGGCGACUAUGAGUAAAAAUUAACUAAAGCCAAUGUUGUUUUGUUGAUGUUGUGUUUGAUUUUGCUGUUGUUUUAAUUUGGUUUUGCUAUUUUGGGCGGUUUUCUUAAAUGCUUGCUGUUUCAAGCAUCAUAUUUUGGUCUAUAUCCCAGUAAUAAUCCCACAGGAAAUCCACAUUGUAGGUUUGUGUUCAGUGUACUAGAAACAAAAGUCAUGAGCAUAGAUGUUGGAAAGGUGUCCUUUAUUAUUGCACAUUUCUGUGAGAUAAUUUAAGGGGAUAUAUAUAUAUUUGCCUGCAAACCAGC
Molecule: long non-coding RNA, 2725 nt
Organism: Prinia subflava (tawny-flanked prinia)
Lineage: Eukaryota; Metazoa; Chordata; Aves; Passeriformes; Cisticolidae
Exons: 6
Source: RefSeq, a predicted model, not a curated record